This 423-nucleotide unclassified non-coding RNA is filed under the name uncultured Tricholomataceae. Its description in RNAcentral is "sequence contains ITS2". The stretch from base 1 to 154 matches the Rfam family "5.8S ribosomal RNA". Lineage: Eukaryota; Fungi; Basidiomycota; Agaricomycetes; Agaricales; Tricholomataceae. The record is from RNAcentral.
AACUUUCAGCAACGGAUCUCUUGGCUCUCGCAUCGAUGAAGAACGCAGCGAAAUGCGAUAAGUAAUGUGCAUUGCAGAAUUCAGUGAAUCAUCGAAUCUUUGAACGCACCUUGCGCUCCUUGGUAUUCCGAGGAGCAUGCCUGUUUGAGUGUCAUUAAAUUCUCAACCUUCCAGCUUUUAUGAGCUUGGUUAGGCUUGGAUGUGGGGGUUGCGGGCUUCAUCAAUGAGGUCGGCUCUCCUUAAAUGCAUUAGCGGAACUUUUGUGGACCGUCUAUUGGUGUGAUAAUUAUCUACGCCGUGGAUGUGAAGCAGCUUUAUGAAAUUUUGCUUCUAACCGUCCAUUGACUUGGACAAUUUUGACAAUUUGACCUCAAAUCAGGUAGGACUACCCGCUGAACUUAAGCAUAUCAAUAAGCGGAGGCU